AGAGUUUGAUCCUGGCUCAGGAUGAACGCUGGCGGCGUGCCUAAUACAUGCAAGUCGAGCGAACAGAUGAGGAGCUUGCUCCUUUGACGUUAGCGGCGGACGGGUGAGUAACACGUGGGUAACCUACCUAUAAGACUGGGAUAACUUCGGGAAACCGGAGCUAAUACCGGAUAAUAUUUCGAACCGCAUGGUUCGAUAGUGAAAGAUGGUUUUGCUAUCACUUAUAGAUGGACCCGCGCCGUAUUAGCUAGUUGGUAAGGUAACGGCUUACCAAGGCAACGAUACGUAGCCGACCUGAGAGGGUGAUCGGCCACACUGGAACUGAGACACGGUCCAGACUCCUACGGGAGGCAGCAGUAGGGAAUCUUCCGCAAUGGGCGAAAGCCUGACGGAGCAACGCCGCGUGAGUGAUGAAGGUCUUCGGAUCGUAAAACUCUGUUAUUAGGGAAGAACAUACGUGUAAGUAACUAUGCACGUCUUGACGGUACCUAAUCAGAAAGCCACGGCUAACUACGUGCCAGCAGCCGCGGUAAUACGUAGGUGGCAAGCGUUAUCCGGAAUUAUUGGGCGUAAAGCGCGCGUAGGCGGUUUUUUAAGUCUGAUGUGAAAGCCCACGGCUCAACCGUGGAGGGUCAUUGGAAACUGGAAAACUUGAGUGCAGAAGAGGAAAGUGGAAUUCCAUGUGUAGCGGUGAAAUGCGCAGAGAUAUGGAGGAACACCAGUGGCGAAGGCGACUUUCUGGUCUGUAACUGACGCUGAUGUGCGAAAGCGUGGGGAUCAAACAGGAUUAGAUACCCUGGUAGUCCACGCUGUAAACGAUGAGUGCUAAGUGUUAGGGGGUUUCCGCCCCUUAGUGCUGCAGCUAACGCAUUAAGCACUCCGCCUGGGGAGUACGACCGCAAGGUUGAAACUCAAAGGAAUUGACGGGGACCCGCACAAGCGGUGGAGCAUGUGGUUUAAUUCGAAGCAACGCGAAGAACCUUACCAAAUCUUGACAUCCUUUGACCGCUCUAGAGAUAGAGUUUUCCCCUUCGGGGGACAAAGUGACAGGUGGUGCAUGGUUGUCGUCAGCUCGUGUCGUGAGAUGUUGGGUUAAGUCCCGCAACGAGCGCAACCCUUAAACUUAGUUGCCAGCAUUCAGUUGGGCACUCUAAGUUGACUGCCGGUGACAAACCGGAGGAAGGUGGGGAUGACGUCAAAUCAUCAUGCCCCUUAUGAUUUGGGCUACACACGUGCUACAAUGGACAAUACAAAGGGCAGCGAAACCGCGAGGUCAAGCAAAUCCCAUAAAGUUGUUCUCAGUUCGGAUUGUAGUCUGCAACUCGACUACAUGAAGCUGGAAUCGCUAGUAAUCGUAGAUCAGCAUGCUACGGUGAAUACGUUCCCGGGUCUUGUACACACCGCCCGUCACACCACGAGAGUUUGUAACACCCGAAGCCGGUGGAGUAACCAUUUUGGAGCUAGCCGUCGAAGGUGGGACAAAUGAUUGGGGUGAAGUCGUAACAAGGUAGCCGUAUCGGAAGGUGCGGCUGGAUCACCU
This 1540-nucleotide ribosomal RNA is filed under the name Staphylococcus devriesei. Its description in RNAcentral is "bacterial SSU rRNA". It matches the Rfam family "Bacterial small subunit ribosomal RNA". Lineage: Bacteria; Bacillati; Bacillota; Bacilli; Caryophanales; Staphylococcaceae. The record is from RNAcentral.